This is an unclassified non-coding RNA of Pan troglodytes (chimpanzee), 294 nucleotides long. Its record names the gene 7SK. It matches the Rfam family "7SK RNA". Rfam says of the family: 7SK was discovered as an abundant small nuclear RNA in the mid-70s but a possible function has only recently been suggested. Lineage: Eukaryota; Metazoa; Chordata; Mammalia; Primates; Hominidae. The record is from Ensembl.
GGAUGUUAGGGCAAUCUGGCUGCAACAUCUGUCACCUCAUUGAUCACUAGGGUAAAUACGGCUGAUCUGGCUGGCUAGGCAGGUGUCCCCUUCCUCCCUCACCACUCCUUAUGCAUGCCUCCCAAAGCUGCACGCUGGGUCAAAGAAGACGACCAUCCCCAAAAGAUGAGGAUGGGUCUUCAGUAAAGUUCUGUGCUCCCUUGCUAGAACCUCCAAACAAGCUCUCAAGAAACGUACAAUGAAAAAAAAAAUACUUUAAAAAUUCUUUUACCUUUCAAAGUAGCAACUAUAUUA